RNAcentral lists this ribosomal RNA (492 nucleotides) under uncultured bacterium. Its description in RNAcentral is "partial 16S ribosomal RNA". It matches the Rfam family "Bacterial small subunit ribosomal RNA", at positions 29 to 507 of the family's 1533-position model. The record is from RNAcentral.
AGUGAACGCUGGCGGUAGGCCUAACACAUGCAAGUCGAACGGCAGCACAGUAAGAGCUUGCUCUUACGGGUGGCGAGUGGCGGACGGGUGAGGAAUACAUCGGAAUCUACUUUUUCGUGGGGGAUAACGUAGGGAAACUUACGCUAAUACCGCAUACGACCUACGGGCGAAAGCAGGGGAUCUUCGGACCUUGCGCGAUUGAAUGAGCCGAUGUCGGAUUAGCUAGUUGGCGGGGUAAAGGCCCACCAAGGCGACGAUCCGUAGCUGGUCUGAGAGGAUGAUCAGCCACACUGGAACUGAGACACGGUCCAGACUCCUACGGGAGGCAGCAGUGGGGAAUAUUGGACAAUGGGCGCAAGCCUGAUCCAGCCAUACCGCGUGGGUGCAGAAGGCCUUCGGGUUGUAAAGCCCUUUUGUUGGGAAAGAAAAGCAGCAGGUUAAUACCCCGCUGUUCUGACGGUACCCAAAGAAUAAGCACCGGCUAACUUCGUG